AAACUAAGGGAUCCGAAAGGAUCGGUAGAGGAGCAUUGCAUGCGGGAUGAAGCAGUACCGUAAGGAGCUGUGGACUGCAUGGAAGAGAGAAUGCCGGAAUGAGUAGCGAGAUAGAGGUGAGAAUCCUCUAGGCCGAAUAUCCAAGGUUUCCAGGGUAAAGCUGAUCUGCCCUGGGUAAGUCGGGGCCUAAGGUGAGGACGAGAGUCGUAGCCGAUGGACAACAGGUGGAGAUUCCUGUACUAUGAUAUGACAGAACUGUGGGGACACGUGCAGAGAGCGGAAGCCGGGAAUGGGAUCCCGGUGCAAGCGAGGUACCAGUCACAUUGGAAAAACCGUGUGGCAAUGGGAAGACGUGAUGCGGAGUGAAGUUUAGUAAUGAAGUCCGUGAGCUGUGCGUCAAGAAAAGCCGCUAUUGUUCAUACCAUACCCGUACCGUAAACCGACACAGGUGGAUGAGGAGAGAAUCCUAAGGCCGGCGGAAGAAGCAUUGUCAAGGAACUCGGCAAAAUGACCCCGUAACUUCGGGAGAAGGGGUGCCUGUGAGAGCAGGCCGCAGAGAAUAGGCUCAAGCAACUGUUUAGCAAAAACACAGGUCUAUGCGAAACCGAAAGGUGAGGUAUAUGGGCUGACGCCUGCCCGGUGCUGGAAGGUUAAGAGGAGAGGUUAGCGCAAGCGAAGCUUUGAAUUUAAGCCCCAGUAAACGGCGGCCGUAACAAUAACGGUCCUAAGGUAGCGAAAUUCCUUGUCGGGUAAGUUCCGACCCGCACGAAAGGCGUAAUGAUUUGAGCGCUGUCUCGACAAUGCAUCCGGUGAAAUUGAAGUACCAGUGAAGAUGCUGGUUACCUGCGCCAGGACGGAAAGACCCCAUGGAGCUUUACUCCAGUUUGGUACUGGGAUCCGGUACUGCAUGUACAGGAUAGGUGGGAGGCUGAGAAUCGGUAACGCCAGUUGCCGAGGAGCCGCUGUUGGGAUACCACCCUUGCAGUAUUGGGUUUCUAACCAGCCGCCGUGACCCGGCGGUGGGACAAUGCCAGACGGGGAGUUUGACUGGGGCGGUCGCCUCCGAAAGGGUAUCGGAGGCGCCCAAAGGUUCCCUCAGGAUGGACGGAAACCAUCCAAAGAGUGCAAAGGCAGAAGGGAGCUUGACUGCGACACCGACGGGUGGAGCAGGUACGAAAGUAGGGCUUAGUGAUCCGGUGGUAUUAAGUGGGAAUGCCAUCGCUCAACGGAUAAAAGCUACCCUGGGAUAACAGGCUUAUCACUCCCAAGAGUUCACAUCGACGGAGUGGUUUGGCACCUCGAUGUCGGCUCAUCGCAUCCUGGGGCUGUAGUAGGUCCCAAGGGUUGGGCUGUUCGCCCAUUAAAGCGGUACGCGAGCUGGGUUCAGAACGUCGUGAGACAGUUCGGUCCCUAUCCGGCGUGGGCGUAGGAUAUCUGAGAGGAGCUGUCCUUAGUACGAGAGGACCGGGAUGGACGGGCCGCUGGUGCACCGGUUAGACUGCCAAGUCUAUAGCCGGGUAGCCAAGCCCGGAAGGGAUAAACGCUGAAGGCAUCUAAGCGUGAAGCCCCCCUCAAGAUGAGAUAUCCCAUCCGAAAGGAGUAAACCCCCUUGAAGACGACGAGGUCGAUAGGGCAGAGGUGGAAGUGUGGUAACACAUGGAGCUGACUGCUACUAAUAGGGUGAGGGCUUGAUC
RNAcentral lists this ribosomal RNA (1694 nucleotides) under metagenome. Its description in RNAcentral is "bacterial LSU rRNA". It matches the Rfam family "Bacterial large subunit ribosomal RNA", at positions 1197 to 2925 of the family's 2925-position model. The record is from RNAcentral.